ACUCCUACGGGAGGCAGCAGUGGGGAAUAUUGCACAAUGGGCGAAAGCCUGAUGCAGCGACGCCGCGUGAGGGAUGACGGCCUUCGGGUUGUAAACCUCUUUCAGCAGGGACGAAGCGCAAGUGACGGUACCUGCAGAAGAAGCACCGGCUAACUACGUGCCAGCAGCCGCGGUAAUACGUAGGGCGCAAGCGUUAUCCGGAA
Molecule: ribosomal RNA, 203 nt
Filed under: uncultured bacterium
Lineage: Bacteria
Description: partial 16S ribosomal RNA
Rfam family: Bacterial small subunit ribosomal RNA
Source: RNAcentral